UACGUAGGGCGCAAGCGUUGUCCGGAAUUAUUGGGCGUAAAGAGCUCGUAGGCGGCUUGUCACGUCGGGUGUGAAAGCCCGCGGCUUAACCCCGGGUCUGCAUUCGAUACGGGCUAGCUAGAGUGUGGUAGGGGAGAUCGGAAUUCCUGGUGUAGCGGUGAAAUGCGCAGAUAUCAGGAGGAACACCGGUGGCGAAGGCGGAUCUCUGGGCCAUUACUGACGCUGAGGAGCGAAAGCGUGGGGAGCGAACAGG
Molecule: ribosomal RNA, 253 nt
Filed under: uncultured bacterium
Lineage: Bacteria
Description: partial 16S ribosomal RNA
Rfam family: Bacterial small subunit ribosomal RNA
Source: RNAcentral